Molecule: ribosomal RNA, 484 nt
Filed under: uncultured bacterium
Lineage: Bacteria
Description: partial 16S ribosomal RNA
Rfam family: Bacterial small subunit ribosomal RNA
Source: RNAcentral
GACGAACGCUGGCGGCGUGCUUAACACAUGCAAGUCGAACGAUGAAGCUGGAGCUUGCUCCGGUGGAUUAGUGGCGAACGGGUGAGUAACACGUGAGCAAUCUGCCCUUGACUCUGGGAUAACUGCGGGAAACUGUAGCUAAUACCGGAUACUUUCACUGGAAGGCAUCUUCUGGUGAAGAAAGAAUUUCGGUCAAGGAUGAGCUCGCGGCCUAUCAGCUUGUUGGUGAGGUAACGGCUCACCAAGGCGACGACGGGUAGCCGGCCUGAGAGGGUGACCGGCCACACAGGGACUGAGACACGGCCCAGACUCCUACGGGAGGCAGCAGUGGGGAAUAUUGCACAAUGGGCGCAAGCCUGAUGCAGCAACGCCGCGUGAGGGAUGAAGGCCUUCGGGUUGUAAACCUCUUUUAGCAGGGAAGUAGCGAAAGUGACGGUACCUGCAGAAAAAGCACCGGCUAACUACGUGCCAGCCGCCGCGGUAA